This 460-nucleotide ribosomal RNA is filed under the name uncultured bacterium. RNAcentral describes it as "partial 16S ribosomal RNA". It matches the Rfam family "Bacterial small subunit ribosomal RNA", at positions 338 to 795 of the family's 1533-position model. The record is from RNAcentral.
CCUACGGGUGGCAGCAGUGAGGAAUAUUGGUCAAUGGACGAGCCUCUGAACAACCCAAGUAGCGUGAAGGAUGACCGCCCUAUGGGUUGUAAACUUCUUUUCUAAAGGAAUAAAACGAGGCACGUGUGCAUUUUUGCAUGCACUUUAUGAAUAAGGAUCGGCUAACUCCGUGCCAGCAGCAGCGGUAAUACGGAGGAUCCGAGCGUUAUCCGGAUUUAUUGGGUUUAAAGGGAGCGUAGAUGGGCUGGUAAGUCAGGUGUGAAAGUUUGCGGCUCAACCCUGAGAUUGCAAUUGAUACUGGCAGGCUGGAGUACAGUUGAGGUAGGCGGAAUUCGGGGGGUAGCGGUGACAUGCUUAGAGAUUACGAAGAACACCGAUUGCGAAGGCAGCUUACUAAACUGUGACUGACAUUGAUGCUCGAAAGUGUGGGGAUCAAACAGGAUUAGAUACCCUUGUAGUC